This 588-nucleotide ribosomal RNA is filed under the name uncultured euryarchaeote. RNAcentral describes it as "bacterial SSU rRNA". It matches the Rfam family "Archaeal small subunit ribosomal RNA", at positions 851 to 1441 of the family's 1478-position model. The record is from RNAcentral. Lineage: Archaea; Methanobacteriati; Methanobacteriota.
GAAACUUAAAGGAAUUGGCGGGGGAGCACAGCAACGGGAGGAGCGUGCGGUUUAAUUGGAUUCAACGCCGGAAAACUCACCGGAGGCGACGGUUACAUGAAGGCCAGGCUGAUGACCUUGCCUGAUUUUCCGAGAGGUGGUGCAUGGCCGCCGUCGGUUCGUACCGUAAGGCGUUCUGUUAAGUCAGAUAACGAACGAGACCCUCAUCCUUAAUUGCUACUAAUGACCUCGGUUGUUAGGCACAUUAAGGAGACCGCUGACGAUAAGUCAGAGGAAGGCGAGGGCAACGGUAGGUCAGUAUGCCCUGAAUCCUCCGGGCUACACGCGCGCUACAAAGGCCAGGACAAUGGGUUUCGACACCGAAAGGUGGAGGUAAUCCCGAAACCUGGUCAUAGUUCGGAUUGAGGGCUGAAACUCGCCCUCAUGAAGCUGGAUUCCGUAGUAAUCGCGGAUCAACAUCCCGCGGUGAAUAUGCCCCUGCUCCUUGCACACACCGCCCGUCAAACCAUGCGAGUUGGGUUCAAGUGAGGAUGUAGUAUUUUGCUGCGUUCAAACUUGGGCUUAGCAAGCGGGGUUAAGUCGUAACAA